GAGAAUCAGAGCACCUGGUGUUUGGGGACC
This 30-nucleotide non-coding RNA is filed under the name Macaca fascicularis (crab-eating macaque). Lineage: Eukaryota; Metazoa; Chordata; Mammalia; Primates; Cercopithecidae. RNAcentral also lists the same sequence under 1 other name. The record is from RNAcentral.